AGCCCAGCUGCUCCCGAAGAUUAAAAAUAGCCAUGGUAUGACCUCUGCUUCCAAGGGUGAUUGCCCUAUCUCUGUGUCUCCUCGACACCCAAACAAAUUAAGCUUGGAAGUUCCUCCCGUUGUCUAAUUUUAGUCUCUCCUGCUGCAGUUCAGUCUUUUUGAGUCAAACCAAUUCCUACCCUCUCUGCAGAAGUUGAUGAUGCACAAGAUUAUCACAGGCAGUCUGUCUUCCAGCGACAACCAGCCAUGGGCAGCCUUCUACCUGGUGGGACAGAUUUCAAGGCCUCCUGUUCUGCUAAAUGCUGAAACAGCGUCUGGGGUGCCCACCCAUUCAGCGCACUCUGUGACAUGGUGACAGCAUCUCCUCGUCUGCAGAACUUUCCUCAAGAACGGACCAAGGACAAGGGCGGACAGAGCUUGAAAGACGUGAACGCUGUGCCUCUCCAGGAGGAAUCUCCCAUAAUUCUCCAGUUCUAGGGAACAACAGAGUCACCUACUGACACAGUGGGUGUUUUGGUCAAUUUUUGUCCCUCCAGCGAAAAAUUCAUGUGUCAGAAGUCCAGUGGUUAAGAUUCCCCACUUCUAAUGCAGGAGGCAUGGGUCCGAUCCCUGAUUGGGGUGUGCAGGUGAGUGGGUGGGUUGGUUGGUGGGUAGAUGGGUCAGAUGGGGGGUGGGGGAUUGGAUUAGUGGGUAAAUAGGGUGGGUGGUGGGUAAAUACAUGGAUGGAUGGCUAGAGACAGAGAGAUACAGAUAGAUACCCAAAACUCAGGUUACAAAGGAAGGGAAAGGGGAUUAAAAAAGGAAAGACCCCCUAAGUCAAGCUUGACAGUCAUCACAGAGAACAAAAUAAAGGCAGAAGGAGUGUCCCCUCUACCAAGAUCAGUGAAAACCCUGCUUUAUUUCUAGGUCCCAACAGAAUUGCUAUAACCCCACGAAGCCCAAAUCAGUUCUAAGUGGGAGGGGGAAGUGGGAGGCUGUGGGGAUUGGGUCAUGUGCCUUUUUCCUGGAAGAAGGGAGUGUACCCUGGAGCCUAGCACCCUCCGGAGAGGUCCUGCUGACCAGCCGAGGGCAGCAGCCUUGCUGGGGGACGUCGUCUGGGAACCACCACUGGCCGGUUGCCAUGGGUUCAGGAGUCCGAGUGCACAGAGGUUGCCUUGGGGAUGCUGGAAGAGGCAGCAUUUCUGGCCAGCCCAGUGAAAUACCACCUCCCCCAGCGUCUCCCGCCAACAGGAAGAACUUCUUGUGUUCCCAUCUCUCUUCUGCUGCCUCUCUGACCACCUCCCUCCUUCAUCCUGACAAGUGCAAACCGAGUCUCCACGUCGAUGUACUUUCACUGCAUUAAAAUUUCCAAGUUGGUACUUUUCCCAUGUUGAGUGCUCUUUGGGUGGAAUGUGCAUGUUGACAUCCACAAAACCCCUUUUCUGCACAGGUAGGUGGCCUGCAGCUCUGCUCAGGAGGGUCUGGUCCAGUCACAUGAGCCUUAGAGAAUGCAUCCUGCCCCGUGUCCUUUCUAUGUUCCAACACCUGGGAUCCCACUGGCUCCUGUUACAACCGAGCCAGGACCAACAG
Long non-coding RNA from Bos indicus x Bos taurus (hybrid cattle), 1569 nucleotides. Lineage: Eukaryota; Metazoa; Chordata; Mammalia; Artiodactyla; Bovidae. The record is from Ensembl.